UUGGACCAGAUGAUCUUGGAGGUCUUUUCCAACCUUGAUUAUUCUUUGAUUCUGUGAUCAGGGGUUGCUGCCUUUUUCCCCCAGCCCCUCAGAGGCCGGUUUCACUUUGGGCCGCCGCUGUCACCGCCGGCUGGAAGAGGACAGGCCUUCUUCCCAGGCAGGAGGUUUCAGCUUGCUCUCACGGAGCAGAACGCAAGUUUUAACUUUGUACCACUAGAUGGCAAGCACGGACCAUCAGAUAAAUGACCUGAUGCCUUCCAGGCGUUGCUUCACAUCAUAAUUAAUCUCCGGUCCUAUCCUACGCUACAUACAGCCGUAACACACCAAGGAAUUUUUGCCACCUGGUCUAUCUGUUGCAAAACCCAGAUCAGUGCAAUAACAAUCCAGAACUAAAACUUCAGUAUAUCAGGAAAGGAUGGUUGUGCCUCCACUGGACAUCAGAUAUGUGCUUCAGUGUGACACUGAAACUGGAUCUGUGGCAUGCAGUUAUCAAGUGCAGGUGUGUCGAAGAAUGAGAAGCCAAUAGGAUGGCAAUUCUAGACAUACUGUAGGAGAAAGUGCCUCUGCUUAUCAUCCAGACAGCCAUUCACAAUUCAGAAUAAAUAGCUUUUGCUGUCUCA
RNAcentral lists this long non-coding RNA (620 nucleotides) under Anser brachyrhynchus (Pink-footed goose). RNAcentral's name for it is "lncRNA (ENSABRG00000001413.1)". The record is from RNAcentral. Lineage: Eukaryota; Metazoa; Chordata; Aves; Anseriformes; Anatidae.